RNAcentral lists this non-coding RNA (531 nucleotides) under Saussurea tatsienensis. Its description in RNAcentral is "partial transfer RNA-Leu". The stretch from base 12 to 456 matches the Rfam family "Group I catalytic intron". From Rfam's summary of the family: Group I catalytic introns are large self-splicing ribozymes. They catalyse their own excision from mRNA, tRNA and rRNA precursors in a wide range of organisms. The record is from RNAcentral. Lineage: Eukaryota; Viridiplantae; Streptophyta; Magnoliopsida; Asterales; Asteraceae.
AUCGGUAGACGCUACGGACUUAAUUGGAUUGAGCCUUGGUAUGGAAACUUACUAAGUGAUAACUUUCAAAUUCAGAGAAACCCUGGAAUUAAUAAAAAUGGGCAAUCCUGAGCCAAAUCACGUUUUCCGAAAACAAACAAAGGUUCAGAAAGCGAAAAUCAAAAAGGAUAGGUGCAGAGACUCGAUGGAAGCUGUUCUAACGAAUGGAGUUGAUUGUCUUACGUUGGUAGAGGAAUCCUUCUAUCGAAACUUCAUAAAAUAUCGAAACUUCAUAAAAGAUGAAGGAUAAACCUGUAUACAUAAUAUAGAAGAAUUGUUGUGAAUCGAUUCCAUAUUGAAGAAAGAAUCGAAUAUUCAUUGAUCAAACAAUUCACUCCAUAAUCUGAUAGAUCUUUUGAAGAACUGAUUAAUCGGACGAGAAUAAAGAUAGAGUCCCGUUCUACAUGUCAAUACCGGCAACAAUGAAAUUUAUAGUAAGAGGAAAAUCCGUCGAUUUAAAAAAUCGUGAGGGUUCAAGUCCCUCUAUCCCCA